RNAcentral lists this ribosomal RNA (256 nucleotides) under uncultured bacterium. Its description in RNAcentral is "partial 16S ribosomal RNA". It matches the Rfam family "Bacterial small subunit ribosomal RNA", at positions 524 to 776 of the family's 1533-position model. The record is from RNAcentral.
UACGAAGGGUGCAAGCGUUACUCGGAAUUACUGGGCGUAAAGCGUGCGUAGGCGGUUCGUUAAGUCCGUUGUGAAAGCCCUGGGCUCAACCUGGGAAUGGCAGUGGAUACUGGCGAGCUAGAGUGUGAUAGAGGAUGGUGGAAUUCCCGGUGUAGCGGUGAAAUGCGUAGAGAUCGGGGAGGAACACCAGUGGCGAAGGCGGCCAUCUGGAUCAACACUGACGCUGAGGCACGAAAAGCGUGGGGGAGCAAACAGG